This 253-nucleotide ribosomal RNA is filed under the name uncultured bacterium. Its description in RNAcentral is "partial 16S ribosomal RNA". It matches the Rfam family "Bacterial small subunit ribosomal RNA", at positions 524 to 776 of the family's 1533-position model. The record is from RNAcentral.
UACGUAGGGUGCGCGCGUUAAUCGGAAUUACUGGGCGUAAAGCGUGCGCAGGCGGUUUUGUAAGCCAGAUGUGAAAUCCCCGGGCUUAACCUGGGAAUGGCAUUUGGGACUGCAAGGCUAGAGUGCGGCAGAGGGGACUGGAAUUCCUGGUGUAGCAGUGAAAUGCGUAGAUAUCAGGAGGAAUACCGAUGGCGAAGGCAGGUCCCUGGGUUGACACUGACGCUCAUGCACGUAAGCUAGGGGAGCAAACAGG